Molecule: RNA transcript, 1484 nt
Organism: Wyeomyia smithii (pitcher-plant mosquito)
Lineage: Eukaryota; Metazoa; Arthropoda; Insecta; Diptera; Culicidae
Gene name: integrator complex subunit 7-like
Exons: 9
Source: RefSeq, a predicted model, not a curated record
AGAUUGUGGGUUCUACGCGUUUGUCAACAAAGUGAAAAACAUCUUGAAAAAAUUUUGAAUGUAGAAGAAUUUGUGAAGCGCGUUUUCAUGGUGAUUCACUCAAAUGACCCUGUAGCUCGGGCUUUAACAUUAAGGACACUUGGCUCGGUCGCAUGCGUAAUUCCGGAGAAACAACAAGUUCAUCAUUCAAUUCGGAAUGCUUUAGAUAGUCAUGAUAUCGUUGAAAUCGAAGCUGCCAUCUAUGCUAGCGUGCAAUUCGCUGCGCAGUCAAAGACACUAGGCUCGGUCGCAUGCGUAAUUCCGGAGAAACAACAAGUUCAUCAUUCAAUUCGGAAUGCUUUAGAUAGUCAUGAUAUCGUUGAAAUCAAAGCUGCCAUCUAUGCUAGCGUGCAAUUCGCUGCGCAGUCAAAGACACUAGGCUCGGUCGCAUGCGUAAUUCCGGAGAAACAACAAGUUCAUCAUUCAAUUCGGAAUGCUUUAGAUAGUCAUGAUAUCGUUGAAAUCGAAGCUGCCAUCUAUGCUAGCGUGCAAUUCGCUGCGCAGUCAAAGACACUAGGCUCGGUCGCAUGCGUAAUUCCGGAGAAACAACAAGUUCAUCAUUCAAUUCGGAAUGCUUUAGAUAGUCAUGAUAUCGUUGAAAUCGAAGCUGCCAUCUAUGCUAGCGUGCAAUUCACUGCGCAGUCAAAGACACUAGGCUCGGUCGCAUGCGUAAUUCCGGAGAAACAACAAGUUCAUCAUUCUAUUCGGAAUGCUUUAGAUAGUCAUGAUAUCGUUGAAAUCGAAGCUGCCAUCUAUGCUAGCGUGCAAUUCGCUGCGCAGUCAAAGACACUAGGCUCGGUCGCAUGCGUAAUUCCGGAGAAACAACAAGUUCAUCAUUCUAUUCGGAAUGCUUUAGAUAGUCAUGAUAUCGUUGAAAUCGAAGCUGCCAUCUAUGCUAGCGUGCAAUUCGCUGCGCAGUCAAAGUAGUUCCUGAUAACAUUGUAUUAACCCAAAUAUUGAAACCGCACCAUGAGUUCCUCAGUGGCAAUUUUCUUUUGUCUCUGCAAAACUCUUUGACUGCCUCCCCAAGCACUAUUAUAAACGUUGGAGGUCAAUGGCAAAUAACAUUAGAGACAUGUAUAAUUGAUCAACACGGCUUUGUUUGGAUAACUGAGCCGAAAAGUCUACUAGCUAGUUGCGCGUAACUGCCCCUCUCAGUUUAUGACGAUAACAACGUAGAGGAUACUGGAGUGGAGAGACUUGAUUGCCUUCUCUUAUUUUCAUCAUACUUGUGAGAAAACAUUCGAAAACACGAAUUAAUCCACCUAGCGGUGAAAGCUAGCUUUUCUCAUUAAAACUUGUUAUAUGUUGAUAUAGAUUUACACAAGCACUUGGUUUUCUAGAAAAAAUUCAUCUUGAUAAUUUUCUCUGGAUGUAUUUUUCUACUCUAAAUGACAAACUGUUGACAGCCAACAGCACAACUGUACCGAACAAUUAAAACAUAA